GAUGAACGCUGGCGGCGUGCCUAAUACAUGCAAGUCGAGCGAACCACUUCGGUGGUGAGCGGCGAACGGGUGAGUAACACGUAGGUUAUCUGCCCAUCAGACGGGGACAACGAUUGGAAACGAUCGCUAAUACCGGAUAGGACGAAAGUUUAAAGGUGCUUCGGCACCACUGAUGGAUGAGCCUGCGGCGCAUUAGCUAGUUGGUAGGGUAAAGGCCUACCAAGGCGACGAUGCGUAGCCGACCUGAGAGGGUGAACGGCCACACUGGGACUGAGACACGGCCCAGACUCCUACGGGAGGCAGCAGUAGGGAAUCUUCGGCAAUGGGCGAAAGCCUGACCGAGCAACGCCGCGUGAAUGAUGAAGGCCUUCGGGUUGUAAAAUUCUGUUAUAAAGGAAGAAUGACUUUAGUAGGAAAUGGCUAAAGUGUGACGGUACCUUAUGAGAAAGCCACGGCUAACUACGUGCCAGCAGCCGCGGUAA
RNAcentral lists this ribosomal RNA (482 nucleotides) under uncultured bacterium. Its description in RNAcentral is "partial 16S ribosomal RNA". It matches the Rfam family "Bacterial small subunit ribosomal RNA", at positions 28 to 523 of the family's 1533-position model. The record is from RNAcentral.